GGUUCUUGGCUUCAAGAUCA
This 20-nucleotide small nuclear RNA is filed under the name Arabidopsis thaliana (thale cress). RNAcentral's name for it is "snRNA_01816". Lineage: Eukaryota; Viridiplantae; Streptophyta; Magnoliopsida; Brassicales; Brassicaceae. The record is from RNAcentral.